UUUUUUUAGUAUAUGUGUAUGACUGUUUUCCAUACAGUAGGAUUAGGUUUCCUAAAAGAAAUAU
Molecule: transfer RNA, 64 nt
Filed under: Vema ewingi
Lineage: Eukaryota; Metazoa; Mollusca; Monoplacophora; Tryblidiida; Neopilinidae
Description: tRNA-Gly
Source: RNAcentral